AUCUGCAUCGUCGGUACUGACGGGUCAUCCUAACCUCGGUUUAGAGCCCGCCGGGAUAGACACCCUUGAUUUUGAGUACCUUUUCGUUUCCUCGGCGGGUUCGCUCGCCGGUGGACAGCCAAAAACUCUUUGCAAUAGCAGUAUCUUCUGAGAAAAAACAAAUAGUCAAAACUUUCAACAACGGAUCUCUUGGUUCUGGCAUCGAUGAAGAACGCAGCGAAAUGCGAUAAGUAGUGUGAAUUGCAGAAUUCAGUGAAUCAUCGAAUCUUUGAACGCACAUUGCGCCCUCCGGUAUUCCGUUGGGCAUGCCUGUUCGAGCGUCAUUAGGAACUUCAAGCUCAGCUUGGUGUUGGGUGCUUGUCCCCGCCCCGCGGUGGACUCACCUCAAAUGCAUUGGCGGCCGGUAUGUUGGCUACAGCGCAGUACAACGCGUCUGGCGUCUUGAUAUACUGGUCCUCCAGAAGCCCCUUCUUUUGACUUGACCUCGGAUCAGGUAGGGAUACCCGCUGAACUUAAGCAUAUCAAUAAGCCGGAGGAA
RNAcentral lists this ribosomal RNA (538 nucleotides) under Pleosporales sp. OUCMBI101128. RNAcentral's name for it is "eukaryotic LSU rRNA". The stretch from base 170 to 323 matches the Rfam family "5.8S ribosomal RNA". The record is from RNAcentral. Lineage: Eukaryota; Fungi; Ascomycota; Dothideomycetes; Pleosporales.